This 461-nucleotide ribosomal RNA is filed under the name uncultured Desulfobulbus sp. RNAcentral's name for it is "bacterial SSU rRNA". It matches the Rfam family "Bacterial small subunit ribosomal RNA", at positions 927 to 1382 of the family's 1533-position model. The record is from RNAcentral. Lineage: Bacteria; Pseudomonadati; Thermodesulfobacteriota; Desulfobulbia; Desulfobulbales; Desulfobulbaceae.
AAGCGGUGGAGUAUGUGGUUUAAUUCGAUGCAACGCGAGGAACCUUACCUGGCCUUGACAUCCCGGGAAUUUCCUGGAAACAGGAGAGUGCUUUCAUUAGAGAGAACCUGGAGACAGGUGCUGCAUGGCUGUCGUCAGCUCGUGUCGUGAGAUGUUGGGUUAAGUCCCGCAACGAGCGCAACCCUUGCCUUUAGUUGCCAGCAGUUCGGCUGGGCACUCUAAAGGGACUGCCGGUGUCAAACCGGAGGAAGGUGGGGAUGACGUCAAGUCCUCAUGGCCUUUAUGGCCAGGGCUACACACGUACUACAAUGGCCGGUACAAAGGGCAGCGACAUUGCGAGAUGGAGCGAAUCCCGAAAAGCCGGUCUCAGUCCGGAUUGGAGUCUGCAACUCGACUCCAUGAAGUUGGAAUCGCUAGUAAUCGUGGAUCAGCAUGCCACGGUGAAUACGUUCCCGGGCCUU